GACGAACGCUGGCGGCGUGCUUAACACAUGCAAGUCGAACGGAAAGGCCCCUUUUGGGGUGCUCGAGUGGCGAACGGGCGGGUAACACGUGAGUAACCUGCCCUUGACUUCGGGAUAACUUCCUGAAACUGGGGCUAAUACCGGAUAGGAAUCCUUGCUGCAUGGUGGGGGUUGGAAAGCUUCGGCGGUUUUGGAUGGACUCGCGGCUUAUCAGCUUGGUUGUUGGGUAGUGGCUUACCUAGGCUUUGACGGGUAGCCGGCCUGGGAGGGGGACCGGCCACAGUGGGAAUGAGAUACGGGCCAGACCCCCAAGGGAGGCAGCAGGGGGGAAUAUUGGACAAUGGGCGGAAGCCGGAUGCAGCAACGCCGCGUGCGGGAAGACGGCCUUUGGGUUGGAAACCGCUUUCAGCAGGGGCGAAGCUUGUGGUGACGGUACCUGCAGAAGAAGCACCGGCUAACUACGUG
Molecule: ribosomal RNA, 465 nt
Filed under: uncultured bacterium
Lineage: Bacteria
Description: partial 16S ribosomal RNA
Rfam family: Bacterial small subunit ribosomal RNA
Source: RNAcentral